RNAcentral lists this small RNA (125 nucleotides) under Marmota monax (woodchuck). The record is from RNAcentral. Lineage: Eukaryota; Metazoa; Chordata; Mammalia; Rodentia; Sciuridae.
GCCAGGUGCGGUGGUGCACACCUGUAAUCCCAGCUGCUCCCGAGGCUGAGACAGGAAGAUCAUGAGUUCAAAGCUAGCCUCAGCAAAGAGGGAGCACUAAGCAACUCAGUGAGACCCUGUCUCUU